AGAGUUUGAUCAUGGCCUCAGAAUAAAACGCUGGUGGCAUGCUUUAUACAUGCAAGUCGAGUGAAGACUAGAUUCGUAGUAGAGACGAUUGAUUUUCACUUGUGGAGAUUAUGAGUUUUUGCUAUUCCUGGUCUUAGCGGCGAACGGGUGAGUAACGCGUGAAUAAUCUGCCCUUGAAAUCGGGAUACCAUUCCGAAAGGAGUGCUAAUACCGAAUAAUGUUAUGGAACAUGUGUUUCAUAACCAAAGUUGAAUCUUUGGAUUCUUCGUUCAAGGAUGAGUUCGCGUCCUAUUAGCUAGUUGGUGAGGUAAAGGCUUACCAAGGCUAUGAUGGGUAGCCGGCCUGAGAGGGCGUACGGCCACAUUGGGACUGAGACACGGCCCAGACUCCUACGGGAGGCAGCAGUAGGGAAUCUUCCGCAAUGGGCGAAAGCCUGACGGAGCGAUGCCACGUGGAUGACGGAGGCCUUCGGGUCGUAAAAUCCUGUCAGGAGGGACGAUGGUCAAUCUUCGGAUUGAUUGACGGUACCUCCAGAGGAAGCUCCGGCCAACUACGUGCCAGCAGCCGCGGUAAU
This 574-nucleotide ribosomal RNA is filed under the name uncultured Chloroflexota bacterium. Its description in RNAcentral is "bacterial SSU rRNA". It matches the Rfam family "Bacterial small subunit ribosomal RNA", at positions 8 to 524 of the family's 1533-position model. The record is from RNAcentral. Lineage: Bacteria; Bacillati; Chloroflexota.